ACCCGUCUCCGCUCCACUCGGAUCCUCCGACCCUGCCGAGCCCGGCUCCGCGGGCACCUUGCUUGCAUGCCUCUUCCUCCUUCCCGUCUUCCUGUCACUCGUUCUGCUGAGCACGUGUCCUGGCCACAGAGGCCUCUGUGCGUGGCGAGGGACGCAGGCGUCUAGACUGGGGCUAGGCGGUGGCGAUUCCUGGUCGGGUGGCUUCCAGUGGUCUUCAGUCUGUCGUGCACCGAUGAGAACUCUCCUUAUUGCUCUGAAGGGCAGACAAUGCAUGGCUGAUCUACUCUGUUACCAA
This 295-nucleotide small RNA is filed under the name Pongo abelii (Sumatran orangutan). Its description in RNAcentral is "processed transcript". The record is from RNAcentral. Lineage: Eukaryota; Metazoa; Chordata; Mammalia; Primates; Hominidae.